This 375-nucleotide ribosomal RNA is filed under the name uncultured organism. RNAcentral's name for it is "partial 16S ribosomal RNA". It matches the Rfam family "Bacterial small subunit ribosomal RNA", at positions 527 to 896 of the family's 1533-position model. The record is from RNAcentral.
GUAGGAGGCAAGCGUUGUCCGGAAUUACUGGGCGUAAAGGGUGUGUAGGCGGGACGGUAAGUCGGGCGUGAAAUCCCACGGCUCAACCGUGGAACUGCGCCCGAUACUGCCGACCUUGAGUACGGGAUAGGAGAGUGGAACUCACGGUGUAGCGGUAAAAUGCGUAGAUAUCGUGAGGAACACCGGUGGCGUAGGCGGCUCUCUGGCCCGAUACUGACGCUGAGACACGAAAGCCAGGGUAGCGAACGGGAUUAGAUACCCCGGGUAGUCCUGGCCGUAAACGAUGGGCACUAGGUGUGGGAGGCAUCGACCCCUUUCCCGUGCCCGAAGCUAACGCAUUAAGUGCCCCGCCUGGGGAGUACGAUCGCAAGGUUG